CCUACGGUGGGCAGCAGUGAGGAAUAUUGGUCAAUGGCCGAGAGUCUGAACCAGCCAAGUCGCGUGAAGGAAGACUGCCCUACGGGUUGUAAACCUCUUUUGUCGGGGAGCAAAGCGAGUCACGUGUGCCUCCUUGAGAGUACCCUAAGAAUAAGCAUCGGCUAACUCCGUGCCAGCAGCCGCGGUAAUACGGAGGAUGCGAGCGUUAUCCGGAUUUAUUGGGGUUAAAGGGUGCGCAGGCGGAGGUGCAAGUCAGCGGUCAAAUUUCGGGGCUCAACCCCGGACUGCCGUUGAAACUGGAGCCCUUGAGUGCGCGAGAAGUAGGCGGAAUGCGUGGUGUAGCGGUGAAAUGCAUAGAUAUCACGAAGAACUCCGAUUGCGAAGGCAGCAUACUGGAGCGCAACUGACGCUGAUGCACGAAAGCGUGGGUAUCGAACAGGAUUAGAUACCCUAGUAGUC
RNAcentral lists this ribosomal RNA (459 nucleotides) under uncultured bacterium. RNAcentral describes it as "partial 16S ribosomal RNA". It matches the Rfam family "Bacterial small subunit ribosomal RNA", at positions 338 to 795 of the family's 1533-position model. The record is from RNAcentral.